This 406-nucleotide transfer-messenger RNA is filed under the name Candidatus Moraniibacteriota bacterium. It matches the Rfam family "transfer-messenger RNA". From Rfam's summary of the family: Bacterial tmRNA, also known as 10Sa RNA or SsrA, is named for its dual tRNA and mRNA-like properties. The record is from RNAcentral. Lineage: Bacteria; Candidatus Moraniibacteriota.
GGGGUUGUUUAGACUCGACAGGGUGCACUUUCAAAAUAUGCAAGCCGACCUCGAUGGCAUGGUCGCAAAUCUCGCCAUCACGAUGAUAAAUGCAAACUUCAUCACAAAGGCAAAGAACGCAUUUGCGCAAGCAUUUGCACCAUCUUUCGCUUCUGUUCUCGCCUAAGUAAUUAGGACGGGGGCCAUCGGACUUCUUAUUCUCGAUAGGAAUGCGCUGGUGUCAUAUUAUCGAGACGGCCGAAGAAUUUCUGUUUCUUUCUUCUUCUCAGCUGUAUUGCGAAAGCUACAAAUGAACGAGGAUUUUGUCCGCUUUUUACCCCUUUCAUUACAACAAAGCGUUCUAAGCUUGUAGAAUAUUUUGGAAAAACGCUUCUGGACAUGGGUGCAAUUCCCAUCAACUCCACCU